RNAcentral lists this ribosomal RNA (253 nucleotides) under uncultured bacterium. RNAcentral describes it as "partial 16S ribosomal RNA". It matches the Rfam family "Bacterial small subunit ribosomal RNA", at positions 524 to 776 of the family's 1533-position model. The record is from RNAcentral.
UACAGAGGGUGCGAGCGUUGUCCGGAAUCACUGGGCGUAAAGGGCGCGUAGGUGGCCCGACAAGUCAGUGGUGAAAGUUCGACGCUUAACGUCGAAUCGGCCACUGAUACUGUUGGGCUGGAGCACUGUAGAGGCUCAUGGAAUUCCGGGUGUAGCGGUGGAAUGCGUAGAGAUCCGGAAGAACACCGGUGGCGAAGGCGGUGAGCUGGGCAGUUGCUGACACUGAGGCGCGACAGCGUGGGGAUCAAACAGG